This 497-nucleotide ribosomal RNA is filed under the name uncultured bacterium. RNAcentral describes it as "partial 16S ribosomal RNA". It matches the Rfam family "Bacterial small subunit ribosomal RNA", at positions 28 to 507 of the family's 1533-position model. The record is from RNAcentral.
GAUGAACGCUGGCGGCGUGCCUAAUACAUGCAAGUCGAGCGAACGGACGAGAAGCUUGCUUCUCUGAUGUUAGCGGCGGACGGGUGAGUAACACGUGGAUAACCUACCUAUAAGACUGGGAUAACUUCGGGAAACCGGAGCUAAUACCGGAUAAUAUUUUGAACCGCAUGGUUCAAAAGUGAAAGACGGUCUUGCUGUCACUUAUAGAUGGAUCCGCGCUGCAUUAGCUAGUUGGUAAGGUAACGGCUUACCAAGGCAACGAUGCAUAGCCGACCUGAGAGGGUGAUCGGGCACACUGGAACUGAGGCACGGUCCAGACUCCUACGGGAGGCAGCAGUAGGGAAUCUUCCGCAAUGGGCGAGAGCCUGACGGAGCAACGCCGCGUGAGUGAUGAAGGUCUUCGGAUCGUAAAGCUCUGUUAUUAGGGAAGAACAUAUGUGUAAGUAACUGUGCACAUCUUGACGGUACCUAAUCAGAAAGCCACGGCUAACUACGUG